UGCUUGGGAAUCUACCCAGUAGCGGGGGAUAACCUAGGGAAACUUAGGCUAAUACCGCAUACGACCUACGGGUGAAAGCAGGGGAUCGCAAGACCUUGCACUAUUGGAUGAGCCCAAGUCGGAUUAGCUAGUUGGUGGGGUAACGGCCUACCAAGGCGACGAUCCGUAGCUGGUCUGAGAGGACGAUCAGCCACACUGGGACUGAGACACGGCCCAG
RNAcentral lists this ribosomal RNA (217 nucleotides) under uncultured bacterium. RNAcentral describes it as "partial 16S ribosomal RNA". It matches the Rfam family "Bacterial small subunit ribosomal RNA", at positions 114 to 334 of the family's 1533-position model. The record is from RNAcentral.